CUACUCACCUGGCAGGGAGAGACCCAAUCGCGAAGGUGGUUUUCCCAGGGCGAGGCUUCUUCAUUGUACUCUGGAUGUGCUGACCCCUGCGAUUUCCCCAAAUGUGGGAAACUCGACUGCAUAAUUUGUAGUAAUGGGCAACUGCAUUUGCACUCUCCCC
Molecule: small nuclear RNA, 160 nt
Organism: Saimiri boliviensis boliviensis (Bolivian squirrel monkey)
Lineage: Eukaryota; Metazoa; Chordata; Mammalia; Primates; Cebidae
Gene: U1
Rfam family: U1 spliceosomal RNA
About the family: U1 is a small nuclear RNA (snRNA) component of the spliceosome (involved in pre-mRNA splicing). Its 5' end forms complementary base pairs with the 5' splice junction, thus defining the 5' donor site of an intron.
Source: Ensembl